AUCGGUUAAGGGUCUUGGGAUAGUUGGAGUUAAGUGUCCUUGGGUUUGAAUAGUACUGGGCUGGGUGACCUCCCGGGAAGUCCAAAUUCAGUCGUUU
Selaginella moellendorffii is the source of this 97-nucleotide non-coding RNA. The record is from Rfam. Lineage: Eukaryota; Viridiplantae; Streptophyta; Lycopodiopsida; Selaginellales; Selaginellaceae.